Molecule: ribosomal RNA, 253 nt
Filed under: uncultured bacterium
Lineage: Bacteria
Description: partial 16S ribosomal RNA
Rfam family: Bacterial small subunit ribosomal RNA
Source: RNAcentral
UACGGAGGGGGCUAGCGUUGUUCGGAAUCAUUGGGCGUAAAGGGCGCGUAGGCGGCCUGCCAAGUCGGGUGUGAAAUCCCUCGGCUCAACCGAGGAACUGCACUCGAUACUGGCUGGCUAGAGUCCGGGAGGGGAUGGUGGAAUUCCCAGUGUAGCGGUGAAAUGCGUAGAUAUUGGGAAGAACACCGGUGGCGAAGGCGGCCAUCUGGACCGGAACUGACGCUGAGGCGCGAAAGCCAGGGGAGCGAAUGGG